This is a non-coding RNA of Lonchura striata (white-rumped munia), 1648 nucleotides long. Lineage: Eukaryota; Metazoa; Chordata; Aves; Passeriformes; Estrildidae. The record is from RefSeq and is a predicted model, not a curated record.
GAGCCCCGGGACGGGCCGAGGCCGAACCCCGGCCGUGAGGGGAGCGCUCCGGUGAGCCCCGGGACGGGCCGAGUCCCGGCCGUGAGGGGAGCGCUCCGGGGCUGUGAGAUACCGUGGCAGUAGCACACACAACAGCCAGCCCACUGCUCCAGAGGGAAUGACAGCUUCCAAGCCAUCCAGCAGGGACUAAGGGUCCCUUCUUCACACAGAGACAGUCCUGCUCCAUCGAGAAGCCAAAGAGCUGAACCUCAAGUUAAAAUUAAAGAGCUCAGUUUGCAGGUGCUGAAUCAGGACCUUAUUAAAAGUGAGCAGGCGUCUUCAGCUGCUACUUCUGCUGCCCUGUCAUUGUGGUUGUAUCUACUCCCAGUCUUUGACUAUCUCGAGUAACCAAGCCUCAGCACUGGUGACAGCUGAUCAGGAAUUAGAGGGCUUCUUUCCAGCGGCUCUACAGGAUACAGAAGAAAUGUAGGUGGGACUUAAAUUAGCAGCACCACUGUCCUUAUGCCACCGAAGGGCUGCAAGUACCUCACAAGCAGGUGCAAGGAGCCAAAUGUUGGAACCAGCAGCCUUCCUCCCCAGAAACACCCUCAGAGAAUCCAGAGAUCACAGCUUGGAGCACAGAGUUGGUGAGUGGGGACCGCUCUCUCCUGACAUCUGCACUAGGACCCCUUUUUUUCCACAGCUCACCAUCAACUCAUGCCCCUAUGUUUAGACCUUGCAGAAGUUCAUUGAUUACUGAAUCCCAGUUCAGGAAAAAAGAAGCAAGUGGAUAAGAGAGUUUGGUCACUUCUAAAAAAAAUUAGUAUUAUUAUUAAAAUAUUAAUGUCUGUAUUUAUAUAAUAUUUUUUAAUGUUUUGUAUUAAUGUGAUGCACUGAAUACGCCAAAGAUGAAAAAGUUGUCCAUAGAUCAAAUGUCUCAUGGCUAAAAACAUCUUUCUGAUGAUAAACCUAAGUUGACAACUCUGUUAAUAGGAUUAGGUUCAUUAAGGGUCUACUUUCUCUUAUAAAUCUGGUCCAGAUAGCAUGGAGCUUUAGAUUUUACGUGGCAAAGGGGGGCCCUGCUUAGUCCUGAAUUUCAUGCUUUUACUUAAAAUGCUUGUUAGUGAUUGAUACUGGUAAUAUUCAAUGUUUCUAGACCAUACUAGGCUACCUGGAAUGACAUUCAAUUUUCAAGAUAUUUAAUGCAUUAUUACAAGUCUAAGAGCAUAUUCCUGCCAGAAUGUUGUAUUACAGCACUGAUUUUUCUUUUUUAGGGACAUGUUAGCAUGCAUAUAGUAGUUAUAUUUUCUUCCUGCUAGAACAUGUUUUCAUUGGGGCUGAUGAAAACCAAGAAAUGCUAUACAGGGAGAAACAAAAGCAGGAAAACGUAUCCUGCAAUAUUGUUUUCUGGCUUAGAGCUACUCUCCUACCUUGGAGACAAGUCUUCUAUUGUUGUUACUGACAUAUGGCUCCAGAGAGCACUUGGUACAUGCCAAAGCCAAGACCCUGCUGGAGAUGGGUCAGAUCCCCACUGCAUACUUAUGUAUCUAUGAGGUGCUCAGCCAAGGGGGACUGGUGACCUGGACAACAUCUCCAGCUGUAAAAAUCACUACAAGUGGGCGAAUUUGAAAACCAGAGACACCCAGCUCCACUGAUGUUCAGUUGAGAC